CCUACGGGAGGCUGCAGUGAGGAAUAUUGGUCAAUGGUCGGGAGUCUGAACCAGCCAAGUCGCGUGAAGGAGGACUGCCCAGUGGAUCGUAAACUUCUUUUGUAUGGGAAUAAAAUGUGGCACGUGUGGGCGUUUGUGUGUACCAUAUGAAUAAGCAUCGGCUAACUCCGUGCCAGCAGCCGCGGUAAUACGGAGGAUCCGAGCGUUAUCCGGAUUUAUUGGGUGUAAAGGGAGCGUAGGUGGAUUGUUAAGUCAGUUGUGAAAGUUCGCGGCUCAACCGCGAAACUGCAGUUGAAACUGGGAGUCUGGAGUACAGGAGAGGUGGGCGGAAUUCGUGGUGUAGCGGUGAAAUGCGUAGAUAUCACGAAGAACUCCGAUUGCGAAGGCAGCUCACUGGACUGCAACUGACAUUGAGGCGCGAAAGUGUGGGGAGCAAACAGGAUUAGAUACCCGAGUAGUC
RNAcentral lists this ribosomal RNA (460 nucleotides) under uncultured bacterium. Its description in RNAcentral is "partial 16S ribosomal RNA". It matches the Rfam family "Bacterial small subunit ribosomal RNA", at positions 338 to 795 of the family's 1533-position model. The record is from RNAcentral.